UCCUCCGGGAGGCAGCAGUGGGGAAUCUUAGACAAUGGGGGCAACCCUGAUCUAGCCAUGCCGCGUGAGUGAUGAAGGCCUUAGGGUCGUAAAGCUCUUUCGCCUGUGAUGAUAAUGACAGUAGCAGGUAAAGAAACCCCGGCUAACUCCGUGCCAGCAGCCGCGGUAAUA
Molecule: ribosomal RNA, 171 nt
Filed under: uncultured Alphaproteobacteria bacterium
Lineage: Bacteria; Pseudomonadati; Pseudomonadota; Alphaproteobacteria
Description: partial 16S ribosomal RNA
Rfam family: Bacterial small subunit ribosomal RNA
Source: RNAcentral